This is a non-coding RNA of Carica papaya (papaya), 348 nucleotides long. Lineage: Eukaryota; Viridiplantae; Streptophyta; Magnoliopsida; Brassicales; Caricaceae. The record is from RefSeq and is a predicted model, not a curated record.
UUCCGACGACUCAGACUCGCACGUAGUCAGCAGGAAAGAAGAAGAAGUGGGAGAGAAACAGAACCAAAUGUGGGAAUAAAGAUGGCAGCUUCCAUUUCUAAGCUUACAAGGGUCAGUGUUUGCAGUGGAGGGACUCUCUUAACCAUCCAUAAGCAUUGGGUCUCACGAUCUUCCUUCUCUUCCUUCUCCACCUUUGCGUCUGCAAUCUCCUCUGUCUCUGAAACCCCAUCUACACCCGCUUCCCAAUCUCAAGACAAAGAUAGAGUGUCAAGAUGGUCAAAAUGGUUUUUGUUCCUUCCUGGAGCUAUCACUUUUGGCCUUGGGACUUGGCAGAUUUUCAGAAGGCAA